This 188-nucleotide ribosomal RNA is filed under the name uncultured bacterium. Its description in RNAcentral is "partial 16S ribosomal RNA". It matches the Rfam family "Bacterial small subunit ribosomal RNA", at positions 1315 to 1500 of the family's 1533-position model. The record is from RNAcentral.
AGUGCAUGAAGCUGGAAUCGCUAGUAAUCGCGAAUCAGCAUGUCGCGGUGAAUACGUUCCCGGGUCUUGUACACACCGCCCGUCACACCAUGGGAGUUGGUAACGCCCGAAGCCAGUGACCCAACCGGAAACGGAGGGAGCUGUCGAAGGUGGGACCGAUAACUGGGGUGAAGUCGUAACAAGGUAAC